Molecule: ribosomal RNA, 404 nt
Filed under: uncultured microorganism
Description: bacterial SSU rRNA
Rfam family: Bacterial small subunit ribosomal RNA
Source: RNAcentral
GAGUUUGAUCGUGGCUCAGAUUGAACGCUGGCGGCAUGCCUUACACAUGCAAGUCGAACGGCAGCAUGAUCUAGCUUGCUAGAUUGAUGGCGAGUGGCGAACGGGUGAGUAAUACAUCGGAACGUGCCCUGUAGUGGGGGAUAACUAGUCGAAAGAUUAGCUAAUACCGCAUACGACCUGAGGGUGAAAGUGGGGGACCGCAAGGCCUCAUGCUAUAGGAGCGGCCGAUGUCUGAUUAGCUAGUUGGUGGGUAAAGGCCCACCAAGGCGACGAUCAGUAGCUGGUCUGAGAGGACGAUCAGCCACACUGGGACUGAGACACGGCCCAGACUCCUACGGGAGGCAGCAGUGGGAAUUUGGACAAUGGGCGAAAGCCUGAUCCAGCAAUGCCGCGUGUGUGAAGAA